GCCUCAUAUUUAUAUUUACGGACCCUAAAUCCAAAAUCACCCGAACCCUUUUGUUUGAUUAAUGAGCGAUUUCUUUAGAGAAAACAAGAAGAAUUGCGGGUUUAGGGUUUCUCAAUUGCAGAGUACAAAACCACACACCAUACAUCGGAUGUUUCAGAUGUCUGAACUUAAAAACCCCUCUUCGAGUAUUUAGGGUUUUUCAAUCAACUUGAUGUAGGCGAGAAUCACCAGCAUGGAUUGCUUUCUUAAUAAUGGAAGUCAUUGUUGUUGUAGAUGUUUCUGAAGCGGAACCAAGUCAUCGAAAGCCCUUCCAUAUGAUACAUCUGGUCAAACUUUAUGGCAUUUGAGAAACCACAGGGGCCCCACCUCAGCUGGUUGGCAGAUUUUCUAACACCUUGAAGUUUAUCGUCGAAAAGAUUAUGCAAUAAUGCUAUGGCCCACAUAUUCGACAAACUUGUCUCGAAAUACAGUACUGGGGCAGUUACUGACUUACUGGAUAUGUCAUAUAGUUGUGAGAGAUGCUUUUGAAGCGGAAGAAUUUGCUGAGGUGGCAACGAAGCCACUGAAAGCCCUUCUGUAUGACACACCUGGUUGAAGUUUAUGGCAUUUGAGUACCCCAUAAGGGGUCCCAGCUGUUGGCAGAUUUUUUGACGUGUUGAAGUUUAUCUUCAAAGAGGUAAUAACUUCUCAUCUCAUGUUAUAACAAAGUACUAUAGUUGGCAAGUUUGACCUAUUUACUUUAGGAUCUAUUGAUUCGGGCAACGUUUGUCAAACAGGCCCAAACAAUUCUUUUUAACUUCGUAAAAUCUUAUAAAUCAUUUUUAAACAGGUUAGGAGAUGAUUGAUAUAGUAUAUGUGUUGUAAUAAUAUUGACCCUUGUUUAUAUAACAAUAGAGAUUCUGGACUGUAAAAUUACCUCUUUUUUACCUGAUUCUUGUUACCCGACUUGCCUGACGUGCCAAUUUUCCAUGUCUAUUAAAAUUGUUCCAUGACUUUCAUCGAACUCAUACAUAAGUCUUUGAACUUUAUUUUUAUAUGAAAAUUUAAAAAAAAAAACUAUACCUAUUUUUUAACAAAAUUUUUUAUUU
Molecule: long non-coding RNA, 1088 nt
Filed under: Helianthus annuus (common sunflower)
Lineage: Eukaryota; Viridiplantae; Streptophyta; Magnoliopsida; Asterales; Asteraceae
Source: RNAcentral